AAACGCGGUUAAAGCGCAAGCGCAGAAGAGGCCGCUCCCGGUCGUCUGGACUAGAGCUGUGGGUGCCUUGGUGUCCUUGCACACCAGUGGGUUUUGACACCGUCUGUGCGUGUUUAUGUAUACGUACACGUGCGGAUUUACAUUAAUAUGCGGCAUAAGUACUGCCCAAUUUGUCCUUCCUCUAGCCGUCCCCACUUAACGCUGAGAGAAGCAUUUCUAGGCAUGGUUCACGCUUCUUGCAUUUUUUUUUUUCUUUGAACUGAAAACGAAAGAAACUCCUCGUUUCUUGAGUGGUUUCUGUAGCGGGGCUCAAACCGGAACGCCCAGCCUCUUUCUCUCGGUGAGGUGGGUGAGUCAGUAGUCCGCCCAUUUUUCACCCUGGGAACCAAGGCCAGCGAAGAGGUAAGACCAAACAGGUGAGGGACGCGGUCCCUUACUUUGUAGACAACAAGCCCGCGGCCGGUCUGCCCGAUCCCGAACCGCCUUUGCACCCACUGGCAUUCUCUCGAGGUGCUCUAAGAUUGUUCUAGCAUUUCUCUGGGCGAUCUGGCAGGAAGUGCGGUUCUGAAAUGACUGGAGAAAUCAACACUCAAAUCUGUCUCAUUGCCCCCAAACACGGGGGCACCUAGAGCUGUUCAAAAAAUGUGCCAAUUCCUUACACAACUUCGAGUCUCAUUUUAUUACACCAUCACUUCCUCGGGGCCUUCCCGCGGGGGGAGUGUGCGCUGCACCCCAAAGUGACCGAUACUGCCUGAGGGAUUUUAAAGUUCUUGGUCUACUGCAGAGUCCCGUAAAGUGUUAAAAUACCCAAGACCCUAAGUGCUCGCUUCCGCAGGCCGGGCGGGACUUGAGACCCGGCGGUAGGAGGGGCGCUCACUGCAGGCGGAAGCGCGCCCCAGGUGCGUGGAGGCUGACUGGGUUGCCGGCCUAGAGGCCCAGAGCGCCUCGGGCUUUUUGCUCUGAGUACUGUGUUUUCCCACGCCUCCAGCUUUGGAGCCGAAAGACUUCUCUCCAAAGGGCUUUUUGUGCAAGGACUCUUCUACAAAUAAAAUGCACUUGUUAGGAAGAAGAAUUUCUGUUGGCAGUACAAGGAAGGAAGAACAGUUUUGCCUUCACUUGGACUUUGACCAAAGGACAUUAGAAGCCUUGGCAUGAGACCCAAAUGAAGGGAACCUUAAUUACAGAAACCAGUCAAAUACUUCACUCAAGGGUCUAUAUGCUCUGAGAGUCUGGGAAGAGAGUGCAGUGCAAAUGAAGAGAACCAGAUUUCCCACGCUUUGGUGAGGUGAGUGUUGGAGGAGAGCACUAGGGCACCACAUAAAUGUUUGUGGGGCUGGGACCAUCCCUCAGCCCAGAGUAGGGGCGCAAGUGGGGUCAGUGCAGCUAAGAGAAGGGCACAGUGUUCUGGGGGCAUUGGGUACAUGGUAGGGACUGUCAGGAGGAAGUGGACCUUGCAGAGCACACAUCAGGUACCCAGGGGCUGCUGGGCUAGAAAGGCAGGAUAGGAGGAAGUCUCCUUCUAGGUGAGUAUUGAGUAUUGUUCUGUGACAUUCCCACUCCAGGCUGACGCAGCUUGGAGACAUCUGACCUGCAGUUGUAGAGCACAGAUUUGAUAUUUUACAACAAGCACAACAGUCCUCACCCAGGAUGAAACCCAUUUUACUGUGAGGGAAACAAAGGCACAGGAUCAUAUGGCUUUGUAUCUUUUUAAAAAGCUGGGUGAGAACUACCCCUUAAUGCUGGGCUGCUGCUCCAUCUGCCACUUGCCUGUAAAUUUUCUGCUCACCUUUGUCUAACAUGCAGAAAGACCGUCAAAAGAGUUAUGGGCUUCAGCCCAAGGGUGUUAAUAGUUACUAUCUUCUUUCUGGGCUUUUAUCAGGAACUGCUGUUCUCACAAAUCAAACUGUGAGAACAUUUGCCAGAGAUUUCCCAAGAGCAGACUUAACUCUUCCUGUUAUAUCAGAAUUAGCCUCUUUAGUUGUCUUUAUGCUUCUUGGGGUCUGGGGGGGCCACUAUGAAGCCGGGUCCAUUCUGUCCCUAGAAGCAGGUGCUCUGCUCUUUUGAUUCGAUGCCUGCUUCUCCAGUGGGUCCUGGCUGGGGUGGAAUGUUUCUGUGGCAGUUUGCCAACAGCAAGAAGACUAAGCAUGCCCUGAGAAUUUCCAGUUGUAGGGCUCUGAACCAAGUCCAGGGAGACUUCUACCAAGGAGAACAUUUUGAUUAUUUCUUUUGAUCUAAGUUUCUUCCUCCCCAUGUCCAUAGAUCUAAUCUGGGAAUUACUUUUGAUCUUGAAAGGUUUUUGCUUUUUGGACUUAUUUAGACCAGGUCUACCUUGUUUAUAAUGAGUAGGACAACAUUUUAUUGUAAGUAAGUGUUCAUCUAUACCCUAUACCUUAGGCACGGGACUAAGAAGGGGUUAAUGAGAAAAGGAUGAAAAGAACCAGGUAGGGUCUCCAGGAAGAUAAUCCCAUGAUACAUUGCCAAGUAUUGAAAAGACAGAGACUAAUACUGAGCAGAAUAGUGAAGAAUAAAGAGCUCUAUAUUGGCCAGUGUGACCUUUUACAAGGCGUUUAGUCUCUCUUGGCCUCAGUUGCAUGGUCUGUAAAGUGACACUAAUAAUAACUAACUUAGGGGCACCUGGGUGGCUCAGUCGGUUAAGCAUCCAACCCUUGAUUUCGGCUCAGGUCAUGAUCUCAUGGUUUGAGGGAGUGAAACCCCUCGUCUGGCUCCAUGCUCAGCAUGGAGAUUCUCUUAAGAUUUAGAUUCUCUCCCUCCCCCUCUCUCAGCCCCUCCUCUGCUGGCACGUGCACUCAUGAGCUCUCUGUCUCAAAAAACCCCAAAGAACAAAAAACAAAAAAACUAACCCAAGUAAAGGUAAGAGGUUCAACCUGAUAAAAAUCUGGAAUGACUUUCCUUUUCCUUAAAUACUUAAUACUGACAAUGCAUCUCAUUCAUUCAAUGAUUUACUAUUGCUUUAUACUCUCAUUCAUUCAUCCAUUCCUUCACUCAACAAAUACUCACUGAGCACAUAGUGUAUGAAAUUAAUGAUGCAUGAUACUAUGGGACAUAAAAGUGUCUGCCCUCAGGAAUUUCCAUUUUAAUUGUAGAGAGAAGACAUACAUGGGAAACUAUAGUACACCAGGAUGCUAAAUGCCAUCAGAAAGGUGCCAGAUGCUGGGGUGCCUGGGUGGCUGAGUUGGUUGAGUGUCCAACUCUUGAUUUCAACUCAGGUUACCAUCCCAGGGUCGUGGGACUUAGACCGGCAUUGGGCUCCUGGCUGACAGCUUGGAAACUGCUUGGGAUUCUCCUUUCUCUCUCUCUCUCUCUCUCUCUCUCUCUCUCUCUCUCUCUCUCUCUCACCCUCUUCCUCUGGCCCCACUACUCGUGUUCUCUUUCACUCUCAAAAUAAAUAAAUAAUCUUAAAAAAACAAAACAAAACAAAAAGAAAGGUGCCAGAUGCUAUGAGAGUUCAGGAAAAGAGAAAUGUUUCCAGGAGGGAAUUUCAAGGAAGACUCCAUGAAGGAUAAAGUGGUUGGCCUGAAGAAUAAAUAAGAUGUGGAUAGGUAGAUGUGGGGAAAAAUAUUCUGCAGGCACAGCAAAGGCCUGAGCAGAGAUCUGGACAGGGGGAUGUAGGGGAUGUGCUUGGGAAACUAAAUCAUCAAGAAAAUAAUUGGCAACCGUUGAAGCUAUUCAACUGGAAAACCAAUUGGAAGCCAACUGCCACAGUGUGAGACUGUGAGCACUUGAAAUCAAGGGGUGGGGGAGAAGAAGGUGUGGGUAUUGGCCAAGAAAGUACGACCAUGGCAGUGAAGAGGAAGGGAUGGGAGUGAAGGAAUCUGGGUGUCAGAAUCCUGAUAUUUGCCAUUUUUCUUCAAGGUUGGUGGUCACUUUCAAAGGCCUGCUGCCCCUCCAUUUUUAUAUUUGAAUAGCACUGGUUUCAAUGCCCAGUCAUCUGCUCAGAGGGAGUCAGAGUCUGGCCAGACAGCAAUACUGUUUGCAUCAUGAUCUUUAUUUGGAGUGAUAUUUGUAUUUUGCUUAAGCGUGCCAUUUUGCUCUAAAAGUCGAUGAGUGAAUCAACAACAUUUAUUUAAAACCCAUUGAGGUUUUAUGGUUUCUAUGUAGUAUCAACAAGAGUUUAUUGAGUAUCUCUGAUGUUUAAGGUGAUGUGAAGGGAGGGAGGAAAUGAUAGCUUGCCUAUAGGAGUUUACAAACUCAUAGUGGGGGGUGUGGAAAGCUGUUUAUGUAGAUUAAUUAUAUAAAAUGAGAUAUGUAAAAAGUACCAGGAAAUUAGAACAAGUUCAAAUGAGGAAGCAUCCGGGUCUUGCAAUCCCUUCCUUAAGGGAAGUUUUAGGAAGGAAGUGGACUUCCUAAAAUAAAAUAAAAUAAAAUAAAAUAAAAUAAAAUAAAAUAAAAUAAAAUAAUCUAACUGUAAAUGCUCAAGGAUGGGGAACCAGAUUGUGAUUUGGAACUAAAGAUCUACGCGGCAAUAGAUUUCGUAAGGGUGAGCUGCUUUCCAUUGUAUCUCCCGGGCCUUCACACUCCGUUUAGCCAAUUCCCACACCAGCUACAUUAACUUCUGCAGUCUGUUCUCCUUUAUCUGGGGAAGGACAGUUGUGGGAUGUGCCCGAUGAAUCAAGGAAUGAAGUUGGAGUAAACUAUGUGGUCUCCCAUUGGUAGGAUUUUGACAAGACUGUAGUUUGACAAUGAAACUGAUAUGAACGAAACAAAUAGUGCUCUCAGGGCCCUUCUCUGGCCUUUCCAUCCUUCAAAAUCAGUGUGGUUUGUUCAAAAUCCCACCUACUGCUUUUACCAAGACCAAAUUUACACACUCUGAGAAUGGAUUUCUCUUUGUGGUUUGUUAGGCCACUGUGGUUUCCCCUGCUGGAUUCCUUUUUGUGGUUGGAGGUCAAACCCUUUCUUGCCUGCUGCUUCCAGGAAUGUGCAGUGUGUGUCCCAGAGUGCUACAUGGGGAGGGUUUUAUUCUAUCUCUUGUGAAUGGAAUGGCAGUCAUCCAGCAGGCCUGGGUGCAUGUAUAAAUAGAGGGACACGUAAGCCUGCAUUUAAUAUCCAGAACAUGAACCAGCCUCCAUGGUGUGUUACCCCAUCAUAUUUUGAUGAAAGGCUGCUGACAGCACCACAGACCAUGCCAUGGGGCCCAGCAAACCACCUAAUCCCACUGCUUUAUCCCAGGCAUAGAUGGGGGCAGAUUUCCCUGCCAGGAACAAUGUCUUUCCAGCUACCAGCAGCUCUGAGUUGCUUUGGCUCUUCCUACUUCUGUCACCCAUUACUCAUGACCCUUGGUCAGAGAGGCCAGGGUAAACAUGGGAAGACCAAGAUGUACAGCUAAACCCCAAAUCUUUUAUUUUAUUUUUCUUGAGGUAGAAGAUUUCAACUCAGUCACCUAUGAAUCCCUUGGACAAUGGAGCUAAUGUCAAAAGGGCCCAUUGAGGGGCACCUGGGUGGCUCAGUUGGUUAAGCAACCGACUUCUGCUCAGGUCAUGAUCUCAUGGUUUGUGAGUUUGAGCCCCAUGUUGGGCUCUGUGCUGACUGCUCAGAGCCUGGAGCCUGCUUUGGAUUCUGUUUCUUCCUCUCUCUCUCUGCCCCUCUCUUGCUGUGCACACGCUCUCUCACUCUCAAAAUAAACAAACAAACAAACUUAAAAAAAAUAAAAGGGCUCAUUGAAAGUUCAGCAUUUCAGAUCUCCUGCCUGACUUCCUACAAUGUGUCACAGCAGACCAUCACUUCCUGAUCUAUGCAGCAUGAAAUAUGAAUUCCUGCCAUUCAGAUUCUUUACAGUCUGGUUCCAAUACUGUUCCCAUCUUAGAACUAGCCACAUCCUUACUUUAGCUUCUGCUUAAUUGGAUUGCUUUACUUUCUAUUUUCCUAGGCCACUUCUGUCACUAUGCCACUACUGUACUGAUCUCUCCUAAAAUAGCUCCCCUUCUCUCUGACUGUUCAAAGGCUUUCUAUCCAUUAGGAUGAAUUUAAUUCCAGGACCUCCAUGGCCACUCUCAUCCACAGGUAUCUUUCUCUCUAUAGCAUGCCUUGUUUUGACUAUUUACUUAAUGCCUGAUUGUAUGUAUAUGUCAUAACCUAUAGGCUUAUAUGCUGAUUAGAAUUGGCAGAUUUUAGAUUGGAAUUCUAGUGUCGCCUGGAAUGGAAAGCCCAGGAAGUCAAGGGUCAUGCAUUAUCUUCUUUGUGACUCCUAUAGUAUUAAGUAGUAUGUCCUAUAUGUAAGAGGGGCCAGGAAGUACUUAUUGAUUGAAGGAAUAAUAAUCCACUAUUGAAAAAGCAGAGCCUUGGCAAUAUUUAUUAGUGAAUCCAGUGACCUUUCAAGGACAUUCUCUGGCUAAGCAGUGCAAUAUGAGGUAAUAAUUAAAGUUAUUCUCAGGUCCCAAAGGGAGCUCAGAGAAUAUCACUCCAUUGAAGUUCCCUGGAGCCUUCUAGAAUGUCAGCUUAACCCAGCUUCCAUGUUGGGUUGCUUCCACAGUUUUAGAUUUCUUGGGAUUCUAUGUUAUGAACUCAGAAGACCUGAUUUUUAUGAUUGUCAUCCCAAAAUAGCCUUCAUAUUCAUACUCACAGGGAGAAGACACCCAGUGGGAGACAUUUCCAAUCCUUCUCUUCCCACUGCUGAGACUGGGCAAAAGGGUGCUGCUGUCCAUAGACCGUGUCUGUCCUGCCCGGAGACUGAUGGCAAGUGUUCUGUUGUUUCUAUCCUUCCCAGCACUGUCUGGAUUUGAUUCUCCCCCCUCCACCCCAUGUAGGUCAUGGAGUCUGAACUUAGGGUGGAGACCUAAGUAUUAGAAAAUGGGGAGCCCAUUGACUCUUGGUCCAAGAGUUAUCUAGUCCAGUAAUGCUGAUGUACACACACGCACUUGCACACACACAUACAUGCACACACAAUGCAGGCUCAUUGUCACACAGUUCAAAAUUGAAAAGGCACAAAAGGGCAGAGAGUGAAGUCUUCCAGCAUUCCUGUUCUCCCAGCUUCUUAGUCCCCCCUGUCGAGUUAACCAGUGUUUGCAGUGUCUUAUAUGUCCUUCCAGACAUACUUUAUAAGUACAUUAGCAAAUAAUACAUACAAACGUAUGCACAUACACCUUGUGGUUUUUUCAUCUUUUUAAAUGGCUGCAGAGUAUUUCAUUGAAUGAAUUUCCACAAUUAAUGAGUCCCAUCUGGAUGGGCAUCUGGUAGUUUCCAGUCUUUUGCUACUAUAAAAAAAUAAAAUUGACGUUUAGUCCUCAAAUCUUAUGUUUAUUUCCCAAAAGCUCAGUACUCAGAGGGGAGAGGAGUGUGGUCUGCACUUUACAUGGCACUGUAUUUAAAGUCCUGGACCACUGAGUCAAACAUGUCCAGGCUUGCACUUUUGUUUUAAUUCUCUCCAAUGUGCCAUCAUGCAGAGAAUUAUGCUGUGAGUUCUGGUGUUCAAUAAAUUAGGUAAGUUUAUUCUUUUCUUUCUCCUCUCUGCCUACAUCCUCCUCCAACCCAAGGGUUUGUUUGUAACCAGAGUGCCUUUCCAGCAAGUGGUGCCCCCAAGCUCCUAAUACUUAAAGCACUGAAUUCCCUCCAUUUCUGUAGAAUGUGAUAAUUGGCAAAACACCUUCAUAUAACAUUCUUUCCUUUGAUUCUUAUGCAAAUUUUCUAAGGACAUUUUCUAGAUGAAGAAACUGAGGCUCAGAAGGACUAUGUGGCUUGCCCAUGGUCACCUAAUUGAUGAGUGACAGGCACAAAACCUGAAGCCAGAUCAUCUAAUAUCAGCCUACUUCUUUCUAAUACACACAUGAACCCCUUUGCCAUAUAUGUGACAUCAGAAUCAGUGGGCAGUUUGGAAUAUGGUGGGAGACUGGAGUUCUAGCAAAUUCACCCCCAAAUUUCAUUUCCAUCAGCAGAUAUAUAGAGACUAUUCAGACAAGAGGAAUUAUGGACUAAUUUACCGGCAUCGAUAGAAUAUCCACUGAGGUAGUUCACAACAUGAUGAGGGCAUUGCCAGUUGUCCAGGGAGUGGGAGGAAGUAUGGUGGGAGAAGUACCAGGGCUGGAAACCUUUGAUCUUGAAGUACAGGUUUAAUGUGGAAGUCAGGGCAUGGGCUUGCAAGACAGGGGACAGGAAGAGAGGCAAAGAAUACAUGCAGAUCAAGUAUCUGCUGUGCUAUGCUCACCCAUUGAUCACUCACCAAACUUGGGAAGGAUCCAUGCAGAGGUAUGACAAGGGUGCCCUCGUUUUCUCAGUGAGUGACAGUGUGGGGUGAUGGUGGUGCUGGAGUGGUGGGACUAUCUCUACUCCACCCAACAGGUAGGGGGAGUUCCCCAGGGUGGCAAGGGGCUGUGUAACUGGUGACACCUAGUGCGGAGUGGUAGACACCAAACUUGUCACAACAUCCUCCCUCCAGGAAGGAAGGACUCAGGUCAAGCUCAUAUAUGUGGCUCUUUCCUCUCUUGGAUACAUUUUUUUCCAGCUCCUAGGAGCUCAGGCUUCUGGCAGUUUUAUGCAUCUGGUCGCUAGGCAUCUUCAGAUGUGCCACCUCUGCUGCGGUGUCUGAACAAGGUCCAGUGCCACUGCCCCAAGGUGGCAGGGAUGUGGAAGAAGACAGGAGCACUGGACACACUCCUGAAGGGGAAAGGGGAGCUUUCCAGGGGCCACCAUUGAGAGAGACACAGGACACAGAGGUAGGGGCUGGGUUAUUACAGGCUCAGAUGCUAUGCCAAGGGCUUAGGAAAUUAUUCUAGAGGCAGAGGGAAUCAUGAAAGAACUUUGGGGAAAGGAAUAACAAGAUUAAGUAUGCAUUUGAGAGACACCACUCCAUCAGCAAUUCACUCAUUUGUUCCCUGAACACUGAGAGCACACACUAUGGAUCCCACCCCCGAAUUCAUAUGUUGUAGCCCCAACCUCCAGUGUGAUGGUAUUUGGAGAUGGGGCCUUUAGGAGGAAGUAGGUUUAGAUGAAGUCACAAAGGUAGGGCCUUCAUGAUAUUUCUGUCCAUAUGGGAAGAGACUCCAGAGAGCUUGUGUUCUCACUCUCUCCCCAGAAUUGUGUACAAAGGUGGCCAUCUACAAGCCAGAUAGUAGGUCCCCACCAGGACUGAUCAGGCUGGCACCCUGGUCUCUCCAGAAACAUCUGUUGUUUAAGCCACCCUGUCCAUGGUACUUCAUUAGGGCAGCCCGAGCCAAUGGAGACAGCACACAACCAGGUGGCUGGCACUAUCUUAGCUCUGGAUAUCCAGCAGUGAACCAAGAGUCCUCAUCCUCAUGGAGGUUGCAGUCUAGUUGGGGAGGAGAGGGAGGCAUGGCAUGAACAAUGCACAUAAGACAUUUGCAAUUACUUUUAUGAAAGAGAGUAAUGGGGCCUUAUUUAGACUGGGGAAAAUGGGGGAGGACUUCCUGAGGACAUGACUUUCAACCUGGGACCCUAAGGAUGAGUCGAAGAGAGUCAGGAAUGGGCAGAGGAAAGAACAUCCCAGGCUUGGGAAGGGCAUGUGUAAAGCCCUUGGAUGAGAAAGGGCUUGGUGAGUAACUGACAAGACACAAAUGUCACCAGAGGAGAAGAGUCACGUAAAAUAAGACUGGGAGCUGUUAUGGGAUAGUACACUUAGGAACUUGGUGGUCUUGUUAAGAGUUUUAGAUUUAGGGGCACCUGGGUGGCUCAGUUGGUUAAACAUCAGACUCUGGCUCAGGUCAUAAUCUCACAGUUUAUGAGUUUGAGCCCACUUCAGGUGAGCCCCACUUCUCUUUCUCUCCUUCUCUCUCUCUCCCUCUUUGACCCUCGUGGGAUUCUCUCUCUCUCUCAAAAACCAAAAAGAGUUUUAGAUUUAUAUUCUUCGUGCAUUGAUGAGCCAUUAUAAGGUUUAAAUGAAAUGAAGUGAUCCAAUUUUCAUAUUUAAAAGAUGACUCUGAAUAAUAUGAGCAUCAGAUUGGAGGGAUGUCAAACAGAAUGAGACAGGCCUAUUCUGAGGGAUGUAGCCAUCCUAGGGGUAUGAUGACCCUGAGCAGCAGUGGGAGUAGAGGGGAGUGGUUGCAUUUGGGGGCCAGUGGAUAGGAUGGGUGGGAAGAAGGAGAAACAGAGGAUAGGUCAUAGUCACAGCAGCUGGGAGGAAGAGGGUGAGUUUGAGGACACUGAGUCUGGUGGAAGUUGGAAACACAUGGGCCUGUGUUUCAGGAGCCAGCUCCAGCCAGAAAGCAGUGACUACAGCAGGCCUGCCACUGCUGUCCUUAGAAAGACCUGAUUGCACGGUGGGCCCUUGGCUGGUGUCUGAGAGCUUGGCUCUCAGAGUGUCCCAGUCAACAGUUGACUGAUAAGGCCAGUUCCCUGUGGCUAGACUGUGAAGACAAUAUGAUUUAGGCUGAACACCUACUUUCCUUCUGGAAGUCUGGAAUUUUUGUACGUGCUAGGCAUAGGUAGCUUAGUAGACUGGCCACCAAUUAAAACAUUGGGCACUGAGUCUCUCACGGACUUCCCCAAGCAGAAACAUCACACACAUGUUUUAGAGAAAGACUAUGCUUUGUGUAUCCCCUCAUGGAGGAAGAGAGCACAAAGAAGCCUUAUGUGGAUUCUUCUAGACUCUGACUGUGUCUUUGUCCCUUAUAAUUCAGCAGUGUCUCUGCAAGAAACCUCAGCCAUGAGAACAGCUACAAGCUAAGUCCUGUGAGUUCUUCAGUGUGUUUCCAAAUGUGGGGUGGUCUUGGGGACCCCUGACACAGCCUCAGGAUUUAAAUUUGGAAGUGAUCAGCAUGUGGAAAAAACUGAAACAAUGGGAGCAUAUGAGAUCACCCAGGAAGACUGAAGACUGAGUAGAACCCUGAGGAUCUCCACAACUAUGAAGGAGGGCCAGAACUCAGGAAGUAGGAGAGAGGAAUGUCUGCUGAAUUUAGCACAAGGUCAUUGACAACCUUGGCAAGUCAGUCCCUGUGGGCAGUUGUGGAGAGAGCUGGAUUAUUAGGGGAUGAGGGGGAGAGCAAUUCUCCCAAGCUUGACUAUAGAAGGAGCAGAGAGGAACGUGGGGGGUGAUGUAAAUGUAUUGAGGUAGGAAAAAACUUGAUCAUUUGUUUCUUCAUUUAUAAGGUGCUUGCUUUAUGUAAGCCAACACAACACUGCUGUGGGUCCAGCAGAGAAAACAGGAAGGACUCCCAGUGUGCUGCAUAUUUGAAAUGUGAACUGCACAAUGCCAUGAAGGUGUUUAACCCAGCGUGGGGGCUUCUUUGAGGAAGUGACCUUGACUCUGGAGCUUGAAGACUAAGUAGGAGUUUGUUGAAGUGAGGAGAAGAGAAAAGGGAAAAAGGACUUUUCAGGACAAGGGAAUAAUGCAGAUGGAUGUCCAGAGGGAAUGAAGAGCGCACACUGAGCGAGGGGAGUGUGAAGAGAUAGGGCUGCAACAUGGCAGCAGCAAGAUGAGGCAGUGCCUUCAGACUCUCAUGGGAAGGAAGCAGCAGAGAGGUAGAAGCUAUAUCUACAGGAGAGGGCUUGAAAAGAUGGAGAGCUGUGGUUUCCAGAAAGAAUUAAUUCUGAUAGUAGGGAAAUACCUUGUCAUGUAACAGAAACAGGAAGAAAGGAUGAGUUUUAAAAGAACAGGUAUAGCCAUAGGUAAGGCCUUAGGAUUGGUGGCAAGAAAUUGAGCAUUCUUGUAUGAUGGCCUUCAUUUUUUUGUAGGGUAUGUUUUUCUCCCCUCCCACCCAUCCCCUUUCUUGAGAUCUAGCAUAUUUUGAGGCUGAGGAAACAGAAGGGGCCUUUGGUAAAUAACUCCAGGUGGAGAAGAGGGGGACAUUCUUUCAGCAUUACAGCACAUCAGAGAUAGGCUAGCAGGAGGCCAAAGUUAGUGUGGUGGAGUCUAUUGUCUUUAAGAUAUAUUAUCCUUGGACCUAUCCCUGUGAGGGCUUUUUCCUUCUUCACCUCCUCCACCCUUGAGAUCUGAAGCUCCAUGUAGCGGUGACUCUACAUGGAAUGGAAUGACUGAUAAAUCCCGCCAGGGGCCAAGCCCAAGAAAAGGCAUUUCUCUGGAUAGAAAAGGCACCAAGUGGAGAACAGAGGGGUCAACAAGGAUGAUGGGAUGGGGAAAUUGAGCCAUAUGUGAGUCCUGGAUGUCUAGACUUGAUAUGCCAUGACCUUUGGAAGAGUUGAGAGAUUAAUUUAAUAAGGUAGAGAGAUUAUCUUCUGUAUCUUCACCUUCCUGUAGACUUGACAGCAAUUGGAAUAUAGCUUCUGAAUCCAAAAUAAGGUAGAAUUCUAAUGUUCCUUUAGAUUCAUGUCUGUACCUUGACCUGUUAAUUGUGAGACUGUCCUCUCUCUCCCUUCUAUCAUGGGAGAUGCAGUUUUGGGUACCACUUGGUAGUAGGAGGUAAGGUCAUAUACUCAUAGUAAGGGGAAAUGUGGUAGGAUCAUGAGUUUUAGGACAGUGGAGAGAGUGUACAAGAAGCCUGCUUAGGUUGCUGGUCAGAAUUUCCACUGGGGCCCCAAACUCUUUAGUGGUACCUGUGUGAUUUCCCUCAGUGUUGUGGAGCCUGGUUGUUAACAUGAUGAUGAUGGGCAUGAAGCAGACAGUUGAGGGGUUCUGGAGUGAGGCUCUGCUUGUUGAGCUCCACGGAAUGUCAAUGGGACAAGGAAGUUGGGGCUGUUAGGCAAGACUGAAGUGGAGGUGAGGGAACAUGGAAUCUAAAGCAGCACAAGGAAAGACAAAGUGGAGACAGAGGAGAAAUAAAGACACAGGAAUGUGUAUAUAAGGAGGUAGUCAAAGAUCUGGGGGUCCCUUGAAUAAAUUUAAUGGGAGCUGGUGAGAGAUCUGGAAGGAUAGGAAAUUGUGGUCGGUAGUAGGAUAUUUAAGUUUAUGACUUCAGAGAUGGAGAAGUUCUGAGUAAUAAGCAUGUUCAGGAUGUGGCCUUGGGAGGGCCCACAUUGACCCUUGUCAUCACUGGACCCUCUCCCUGAUCCCAUGUUCACAUGGCUUUUCUCCCUCCUUUCAGCCUCUGAUGUGCCUCCUACCUCAGCCUACCCCUUUCCCACUUUCUGGUCCAGCAAGAGGAACUCACAGCAUCUUUUCUUCCGGAGAAAUUCAUUCCACAUGUGUCUGAUUCAUUUGCGUUUACUGAAACUCAAAAUCUCCAGUGUCCAAAAACUCUUUCAACUGUUUUUUCCCCUGCCCUUUCUUAGAAACAGGAAGUUGUGUUUGGCUGAGGACAAAGUCUUCCAGUGCCCUUGGGACUUACAAGAUGUUUGGGAAUGAGGAACGGUGAGGUCUGGGGAAGGCUUCUUUAUUCUCACCUUUCCUGGGGCAAGGGUGUAUCUGUCUGUGGUAGCCUGGGCAGCUCAUGGGGAUGGAAGACUAGCCAUAACUUUCCUGUCUCUUCCCACUGAGCCCAAGACCUGAGGGAAAGCAUGUUCUAAAAGAGACAGGUGGCUUUGAAUGCUCCUAUAUUUCUCUCUCCCUGCACUGGCAUCUACUGUUCAGAAUAUACUUGGAUGUUGGUUCUCACCUUUCUCUUCCCAACACUUGGACAGUGUCUUUGAGGAGCUUUUCAAUCUAGUUUUUGAGGGGUGUGGGCUGGCUGGCACUCAAUUUUAAGUGAGAAAGGCCAACUGUAUCUUCAGUGGGAUCUCAGAGAAACUCUCCAUCUGAAGAAGAAUGAACCAGACUGUGAUUGUGAUAAGUCUGCCCAGGUUGUUGGCAGGCGUUAGCCUAGAAAGCAGACAGGUGCCUGGGAAAGGCUGAUGGAGUGCCAGUGAGGCAAGGAAAGCAUGGAGGUCACAACACCAGCACUCUGCUCACUCAGCGCUCCAACAUUUAGCUCCCCUGAAGCGUGUUAUUUUGUGCCAUCUAGAAUUUUUUCAGAUGUAAGGCAAAUAUGCCCACAAUAUAUCACUUGAGUGAUUAUUGAGUGAACCAGCAAAAAUGUCAGUUUAGGUGAGUGACUUCUGUCUCUCACAGUCCAUAGGCAGCUUUCUUGAAGGACCACAGGAAAACACGCUGUGCCAGAAGGCAGCUUCUCAUAGACAUACCGUCCUGCAGCCAAGGGCCACUAAAAGAGAGCAAACCCAUUUGUAUUUCUCAAGGGCAGGAGUACAGCUGUGUCCCUCUCUUCCUCUGUCUCCUGACUGAACUGCACCCAUGGGCAGUGCCUUGGGGUGCAGCAUGCUGGAUGGAUACACUUCCCUUUUCUUAGGGCAUCCCCUCCCACUCUACACAGAGCAGAAUCAGGGCGGAGAAGGACAGGUGUCAGGGGCAGUAGCUUAAUCUUGCCUAAGAUGUUGCCUUCCUCGUCUUCCUUCCUCAUGCUUAUCCCACCUCAUGUUUUGUUUUGGCUGCAUGUUCAGUAAUCUGGCUUCGAUGGACUGAAGAGGCACAAGGAAGUGAUAAGGCUGUGGUAGCUGAAAUCUGGAAACCUGAGGGUGAUACUACAUUUGAUUCUCUUUGGUAGAUUCCGUAUUUCUUUCACUCUUACAAACAACUCCUCAUUUCCAACAGUGAAAGGGACACGGCUGCUUACUGGAGGGGCUUGGUGAUCUGCAGCAGAGCAUGUAGAGAGCAGAGAUUGCUGUGGGCUCACAAGCCUCUUUUCCUACGACCAGGGGAGACUCAGACCCUGGGAGUCCUGGGCUAUGUGUGAAAGCAUAUCGCCUUACCACUUUACAGUCUCAAGAAUGCAGUGGUGACAAAGCCUCUCUAAUUGCCCUGGACCAGAAGUUGAAAAUAUCAAGACCAAGCAAAAGCCAACAUAUGCUUAAAAAUUUUCCUAUUGUUCAUGUCUUUUUUUUUUUUUUUUUUGGUUGUCGGUGGGGAGGCCUGGAAAAAAUGAAGAAGGAUCCAGAGGAAAGCAAGAAGAACUAUAUGUUUGGAUGCGUGGAAAGAAGAACAGUCCUUAUUAUGAGGGCCCACUGGUUAAAAACCCCAAACACAAAGAACCUAGUGAACAUAUCAGAGGGACAAGAUGUUGGGUUAGUGGGAAGAUGGUCCCAUUGUCCUUGGACAAUGUUCCUGGGAGGGGGAUGGUUUGCUAAAGUGGGCUGGGGAACAAUAAUGUUGCAUAGUUUUAUAAAUUCACAAAUCCCUCUGGUCAGCUACAGGGGAAUAAAGGGCAGAGAAUAAACCCCAGGCAAGGAUUCACUUACAUUAAAGAUGAAAGAAAUGAACUUUGAUGCUAAUGUACCACCUCUGAAAUAUUUCUGGCAGGUGUUCAGAGGAUCCAGAUGAAUGACCAAGCUACCUGCCGCGUCAGGGCCUUAGGGACUUUAGCAAACACUAGUACCAGUUUCCAUCAGGAGCACUAGCAGGAAAACGCAAACUCUCAGCAGAGGAAAUGUAGUCUUCCCUUCUCGGGGCUCCAAGGGUGGUUGAGGUUGGCCAGGGGAAAUAAUGGUGUGGUCUCUCACUGCAGAUCUAUUUUCUGAGUCCCUGCACUGCAGCUGUUGAGUUUCCAGACACAAACAAGUAUGUAUUCUGUGAGCCUGGCCGAGCCCACACAGCAAGGAAGAGCCAAGCUGGAUUCCAUUCUGCUUUGCACAUCGGCAGCUCUGCUGCCAGCUGAACUCCAGGGCAAACGCAGUCCCUGCUGCGUAGGGUUGGCACAGCUAGACUGCUCUGGGCAGCGCAUGGGGGACACGCUUGGCUUUGCUUAUUCUAGGGAGGGUGAGAAAUGGAAGGAGAUGAGGAGUUGCAGAAACAUACAUCAGUCUCAACAAAACUGGUGCAUGGCAAGGAAGAAUCUGGUUUUACUAGCCGUCAUCGACAUGCCUGUGUGUGUGCUUGUUUAUGUUUAGGUAAGCCUGGCCUCCCCCUCACUAGAGUCAGCAGAUAGGGAGAAAGUGGUUAACUCCAUGUGGAGCUGUGCACCACACGGAGCUGACCAGCAGCGACCUGCUGAGGGCACUGUAGGGGCCAGAAUCCAAUUUAUUUCGUUUCCUGCUCCCAGGGCGAGUCCUCCCAGAGGGCACCGUUUCCUCACUCACACCAGGGCUCCCUAUAGCAUCCUCUCUGCCCAUGUCACUAGUUAUUUGAGUGAGUCUUGAGAGAAAGCAAAAGGGAGGGACAAAGGGGUCAAAGUGAUGAAAAAUGGAAGAUGUGAAUUUAUAUGUGUUCCUUCUUUUCACUACAAUGUCACUUCUUGAUGUCGUCUGUUUCAUUGUACCCAUUAAUGAGCAAGGACUGAGUUCCCUCUCCACUAGACCAUAUGGAAGACUGAACCAGGAAGAGGUGAGGAGAUACAGAGUGGAAGGUGGGAUUCUGGGGCUCUCAGGUAGGGUUUAGGUAGCAGGUGGGGGAUGCAGUUCCAUGUAGAAAGGGCUGAUUGGGACCAUUGCAAGUUGUUGGGGCCAGGAGAGUGGUGAGGUGGAGAUAAAGUCUGAUGUGGAGAGAAGGCACUGAGGUCGUUGGCAUGACAGUGCUUAGAUAUGGGUUCAGCUUUCCUCAGGUCCGCAGAGAAUCUGGUAUCUCUGGCUGGUCAGUAUAUCAAAGGGAGGCUGUGUAUGUUUGCAAAAUGGAAUGGGAUAGUCUUUCUCAAGAAUAAUGAACCCAGAGGCAUCUCACAGCCACUGUUACCUCAGAGUUGGAUAUUUCCACCAGAGCAGUGGUUCUCAAACCAGUAGUCUCCACAUCACCUGGGAACUUGCUGGAAAUGCAGAUUCUCAGGUUCCCUCUCUAACCCACUGAAUCAGUAACACUUGGGGUAGGGCCCAGAAAUCUGUAUUUUAAGAAUCCCUCUGGAUGCCUGCUCGAAUUUGAGAAUGACUGGUCUAGAUUAUGAUGAAGAGUUGCCUGAAUGAGCUGGAUUCAGCAAGAGGAAGGCCUGAGAGACCCAGGCAAGGUGCCAGCUUCCCUGUGUGCGUUCAAGGUCAGCUGACCUAGUUUUAGCCUCCGUCCUUGGGCUCUGGGUCCUCUGCCUUUUCCAAAGAAAUAGUGAACCAGAUCAGACCACUGCAUUGGCACAAGAUCACACUUUAGUUCAGAGACACAUUUGCAUAAAUACUUGAAAUGGACUGCCCCUGCAGGUGCAGCCUGAGACCCUGCACGGCUCUCCACAGUCCUGCAACUCUGCAGCCCUUUAGGCAAUGGAUUUUAAUACUGAAGACAGUUAAGGUCAUUUCUGAAGGUGGCUCGGGGGUGCAGCUGUGGAGCUUUGACAUUAGCCAUCAACCCCAUACUCCGAGUCUCUGUUUUACUAAUUUUUUCCCCCUGAGGUAGAUUAUUUAUCGGGGAAACCAAAUAGGAAAAACUUUUUUUCAUUUAACUCUACUAGUCCUUUGCAAACAGGCUGAGUCUCCUGUUUGGGUCAAUAAGUGUUUUUUUUUUUUUUUUUUUUUUUACCUUUUAACCUAUGUCCUCUACCUGAACC
Long non-coding RNA from Acinonyx jubatus (cheetah), 17306 nucleotides. RefSeq lists it as uncharacterized. The record is from RefSeq and is a predicted model, not a curated record. The transcript has 5 exons. Lineage: Eukaryota; Metazoa; Chordata; Mammalia; Carnivora; Felidae.